RNAcentral lists this ribosomal RNA (216 nucleotides) under Glomeromycotina sp. Its description in RNAcentral is "partial small subunit ribosomal RNA". The stretch from base 40 to 216 matches the Rfam family "Eukaryotic small subunit ribosomal RNA", at positions 686 to 864 of the family's 1831-position model. The record is from RNAcentral. Lineage: Eukaryota; Fungi; Glomeromycota.
GGGUCAGUAGGUUGGUCGUGCCAUCGGUACGUACUGGUCUCACUGAUUCCUCCUUCCUGAAGAACCGUAAUGCCAUUAAUUUGGUGUUGCGGGGAAACAGGACUGUUACUUUGAAAAAAUUAGAGUGUUUAAAGCAAGCUAACGCUUGAAUACAUUAGCAUGGAAUAAUGGAAUAGGACGAUCGAUCCUAUUUUGUUGGUUUCUAGGAUUGACGUA